GCAGUAGCCGCGGGAAUACGGAGGGUGCAAGCGUUAAUCGGAAUUACUGGGCGUAAAGCGCACGCAGGCGGUUUGUUAAGUCAGAUGUGAAAUCCCCGAGCUUAACUUGGGAACUGCAUUUGAAACUGGCAAGCUAGAGUCUUGUAGAGGGGGGUAGAAUUCCAGGUGUAGCGGUGAAAUGCGUAGAGAUCUGGAGGAAUACCGGUGGCGAAGGCGGCCCCCUGGACAAAGACUGACGCUCAGGUGCGAAAGCGUGGGGAGCAAACAGGAUUAGAUACCCCCGUAGUCCUGUCUCUUAUACC
Molecule: ribosomal RNA, 302 nt
Filed under: uncultured bacterium
Lineage: Bacteria
Description: partial 16S ribosomal RNA
Rfam family: Bacterial small subunit ribosomal RNA
Source: RNAcentral